AACGCACGAGACCUGCGGACCUGCGGAGGGAUCAUUAAUGAGAAACUGCCCCUCGCGGGUAGAUCUCCCACCCUUUGUAAGCUUACCUUUGUUGCUUUGGCAGGCCCGUCUCCGGACCGCCGGCUUCGGCUGGCCAGUGCCUGCCAGAGGAUUCUAAAACUCUGUCUGUCAGUGUUGUCUGAGUCUAUAUACAAUCGUUAAAACUUUCAACAAUGGAUCUCUAGAUCGGAAGAGCACACG
RNAcentral lists this unclassified non-coding RNA (240 nucleotides) under soil metagenome. Its description in RNAcentral is "partial contains 5.8S ribosomal RNA, internal transcribed spacer 2, and large subunit ribosomal RNA". The record is from RNAcentral.